UCUUCGAUGAUGAUUUACACAGCGACUUUCGUUCUUCUGAUCCAACUGAAGCCAGCCUUAGUGUACUGAGACUA
This is a small nucleolar RNA of Phycodurus eques (leafy seadragon), 74 nucleotides long. RefSeq annotates it as small nucleolar RNA SNORD59. The transcript has a single exon. Lineage: Eukaryota; Metazoa; Chordata; Actinopteri; Syngnathiformes; Syngnathidae. The record is from RefSeq and is a predicted model, not a curated record.